RNAcentral lists this ribosomal RNA (497 nucleotides) under uncultured bacterium. RNAcentral describes it as "partial 16S ribosomal RNA". It matches the Rfam family "Bacterial small subunit ribosomal RNA", at positions 28 to 507 of the family's 1533-position model. The record is from RNAcentral.
GAUGAACGCUGGCGGCGUGCCUAAUACAUGCAAGUCGAGCGAACGGACGAGAAGCUUGCUUCUCUGAUGUUAGCGGCGGACGGGUGAGUAACACGUGGAUAACCUACCUAUAAGACUGGGAUAACUUCGGGAAACCGGAGCUAAUACCGGAUAAUAUUUUGAACCGCAUGGUUCAAAAGUGAAAGACGGUCUUGCUGUCACUUAUAGAUGGAUCCGCGCUGCAUUAGCUAGUUGGUAAGGUAAUGGCUUACCAAGGCAACGAUGCAUAGCCGACCUGAGAGGGUGAUCGGCCACACUGGAACUGAGACACGGUCCAGACUCCUACGGGAGGCAGCAGUAGGGAAUCUUCCGCAAUGGGCGAAAGCCUGACGGAGCAACGCCGCGUGAGUGAUGAGGGUCUUCGGAUCGUAAAACUCUGUUAUUAGGGAAGAACAUAUGUGUAAGUAACUGUGCACAUCUUGACGGUACCUAAUCAGAAAGCCACGGCUAACUACGUG